This 88-nucleotide transfer RNA is filed under the name Verrucomicrobiota bacterium. Its description in RNAcentral is "tRNA-Ser". It matches the Rfam family "tRNA". Rfam says of the family: Transfer RNA (tRNA) molecules are approximately 80 nucleotides in length. Their secondary structure includes four short double-helical elements and three loops (D, anti-codon, and T loops). Further hydrogen bonds mediate the characteristic L-shaped molecular structure. tRNAs have two regions of fundamental functional importance: the anti-codon, which is responsible for specific mRNA codon recognition, and the 3' end, to which the tRNAs corresponding amino acid is attached (by aminoacyl-tRNA synthetases). tRNAs cope with the degeneracy of the genetic code in two manners: having more than one tRNA (with a specific anti-codon) for a particular amino acid; and 'wobble' base-pairing, i.e. permitting non-standard base-pairing at the 3rd anti-codon position. RNAcentral also lists the same sequence under 1 other name. The record is from RNAcentral. Lineage: Bacteria; Pseudomonadati; Verrucomicrobiota.
GGUUGGGUGCCGGAGUGGUCGAACGGGGCGCUCUCGAAAAGCGUUGAAGUGUAAGCUUCCGGGGGUUCGAAUCCCUCCCCAACCGCCA